This is a long non-coding RNA of Topomyia yanbarensis, 393 nucleotides long. RefSeq lists it as uncharacterized. The transcript has 3 exons. The record is from RefSeq and is a predicted model, not a curated record. NCBI's taxonomy places the organism in Eukaryota, Metazoa, Arthropoda, Insecta, Diptera, Culicidae.
UUUUUAUUUUCUUAAUGUUAUUUAACAGAUCAUUUUGUUCCACGCCUUUAACAUUUAAUGCUAAUUUACUGUAUCAUUGUUUGUUGGAAACUGAAGUUAAUUGUUACUUGAAGUUUUAGUGUAAAUUUAUUUUCAUGUCUGAAAUUCCUUCAUCAUUUUAUUAGUCGGACGAUAUAAAAUGGUUAAUGAACUUAACCGAAGGCAUCCGUAAAUCAAACAAGUCAAAUAAGAUCAAAAAGAGUAUAAUGAACAGGUGGAAGAAAAAAUGGAUCUUGUGGAGUUGCAGUAUUCUAAAGAUCUUUGACGAUAGUGUGUUCGAUAACUCAGAACGUAAUCUAGUGUACCAUAUUGCAGAAUACAUUCUUAAGCGUGUCCCGAAACAUUGUACUGUUU